Long non-coding RNA from Motacilla alba alba, 8223 nucleotides. RefSeq lists it as uncharacterized. The transcript has 2 exons. Lineage: Eukaryota; Metazoa; Chordata; Aves; Passeriformes; Motacillidae. The record is from RefSeq and is a predicted model, not a curated record.
AGCGGGGGCGCCCCGGGAGCGGGGCUGGGGCUCGGGUUCUGAGGAGCCCCUGGAACGGAGGGAAACGGGGCUGUGUCUGAGGGUGCUCGUUCCGAGGAGCCCCGGGCUCGGCGGGAGCCACUUUUUUGGCCGCCGGGCGCUGCAGCCCGUCCCGCGUUAGUGCCGGGGCCGACGGGCGGCCCUGGACGUCCCCGGGGAAGCAGAUGGGCGGGCGAGCGGGCUGCGCUCGUGUUGCCGCCUGCGUUUAGGGGGAAAACGAAAUUCAGUGGGUUUACAAGUGUGGGCUACGGAACGUGUGGAGGCAUCACGUGCAGUGCACCCUUUUGCCGUUCGUAUGGUGGAGCUGUGAACACCCUGCUCUACCCCCACACCGAUUUCCGAGCAGUCAGCACCCGACGGGAGCAGAGCUGUCGUGUUUCCUUAUCAUCUGUGAAACUCGGCACUGCUUUUGUUUUCUGCAAAGGUCACAUGUUUUGCACCUAGAGUCGGUGAUCAUGUCUCUUGAACGGUGAUAAGAUAAAGCUGUCCCCCAUCUGAACCGAGGAUUUAAGCACUCCCGUCACCUCACACGUCUCCGGUGCACACUGAAGCUGGAAGUGUGAGGGCAGCAGAUGCAGAAAUAUCUGAACUUGUGUGGGGGUAGCUGGUUCGCUAUGAAGUGGUGCAAACCCAUGAUUAUUCAAGCUUCGAUAUGGGCAAGUUAGACUGGAAUGAAUCGUGAGGGGCUGAGGUAAACCUGUACCGAAGUACUUGCCACCAUAACCCUGUUGACACAAAUUCUAUACUACGAAGAUAAGAAUUAGAUUGUUAUGAAACCGCUCUGAAAAUCAACCAUCAAUCAAAAAUUAUACCUCUGCAGAUAGUUUGUUUCUGUGACUGGGUCAGUUCUUAGUCUCCUGUAUUUCUAAGAUGGGUAUCAACAUAAAAUUUUUUAAGAUUAGCACUAAUUUUUCCGUAUCUUUUGAAAAUGACUACUAUCUCUGUAAGAGAGUUUCCAUACUAAAUGUAAAUAAAGAUAAAUAAAAGCAAACCAAUUUUGAGGCACUGUAGACUUGUUUAUAUGCAAAAUAUUUUUGGAGCAUAUUCUGUCACUAAUUCCUUUUUCUGUAGUAAUUUUUUUCUUCUGUUUUUGAGAGUAUGAAUCAAUUCUUCUGUUGGAGCAACCAGAAGAGAGUAUUGUCAUCAUGAUGUGUCAUUGUACCUAGGUCAGUUGUUUGGUUCCCAGGGUAAAUAAAAGAAUGGAAACAGUCAGGAACUCUCUAAUUCUGCAGAGUAACUGCCCAGGAAAUGAUACUCCCAGCUUAAUAUAAUUUAGGCCGAAGAAACAAUUAGAAAAACCUGCUGCAGAAAAUCUUUCAGUGGCAAGCAGAGCACAUGGAAAGUCACAGAAGUUGCAGCCUAGUCGAUAUAAAAACCCCACCCCUCUAUUGCACAUGAAUGGCUGUGCAACUCAUAGGAAAGGGGAAGCAGCAUUUCUCGUUGUCAUGAGCUGUUACCAAAAGGUGUUUUGCAUUAGCAGUUAGUAUGGGUCUGUUCAUGCCCCCUCCAUCCCAGAUAAGGCCAAUUUCUGUCUGCAAACGUUGUGUAUUGUUACCUCCCUGUUUGGGGAAAAGCUGCAGGGCUCACGUUGUCACUAAACACAGUGUCACACCACUAGCUGUGAUGAAGUGUGGCAUGUGCUAAUUACGAAAAGGAAACAGAACAGGUACUGCCAGGUGCAGGAAGUAUAAAAGCACAACUCAGCGUAAAGGGGACCUUUAGCACCUUUCUUUUGCAGCAGCUGUUCAAAAUUGAAGGUCCACACAGAAAGGGCACACAGAAAUCAAGUCUUCCUGUUUAAACACGUGGGUUUUAAGUAAAUCCUCAGAGGUGUGAUACGAAGUUAAUUGUGGCACAUAAAAUCAGCAUGGUUAUUAUCAGUCUUUUGCCACUGAUUCAGGGUGAAGUAAACCUGUAGCACACUUAAUUUUAUAAAAAUUCAUAGAAUAAAAGAAUGUUUUGUUAAGGAGUGUCUUGCAUGCAGCUGUUGUGUAGACAUGCAAUGUUACAUAGAGCAGCCUCAAAGUGGCAAUUGAUGUUCAACUAGUGGGCAAAAAAACUUCUGCCUGUCUAAUUAUAGACUGGUGCUAGAGAAUUUGAUUUUUUUAAAGACAUUCUGUUCAAAAGCUCUGUCAUAGACACUCAUAUUCAUGCCAGCAGAGUUCGAUAUCCCAGGUUUAUGGUAAUUCUGCAGAAAGCAUGAAGAGUUUUUGCUCUCUUCUGUCUCGGUGAUUUCUCCAAAAUAUACUAGAGCCAAGGAAGAGAAAUGCAAGUUUCUGUCAUAUUUCUUGUGCCUGUAGAUGUGAGAAAGCAUCCUCUGCUUAGGCUUUCAGUUCUGUUUUGAAGCUUCAGCAAUUUUGUAAUUGAUACAACUUCAAAUUUAUUUUUUUAAGAGCUAGAUGAGAACAUCUAGAUUGAAUUUUCAUUCAUCACAAGCCAAGUGUGAUGCAAGCAGCUUUCAGAGCCAGCCAAACUGAGCUUCAGUUGAAUCCACUGUGCAGCUCUUCAAAGUCAGUAAUUCUCUGUCAUAAGCUAGAGGACAAUUUAAUUUUUUUCUUUAGUUUAAAGAAAAGAUUAGCAUGUUGUGAAGGUACAACAGUUGUGCAUCGCUGUGAGCUGACCAACAGCUCCUGCCUCCACUUGCCAUCGCUGUGAUUUAAGGCAGUUCCAGCACACCCAAGCCUGAGGGCAAGGGUACCAAGUGUGGCAGUGCUGGACACUCCCAGUUGUUGUCCAUCAGACCAUGAGACAGAGCAGCUUUCUCUGAAAAGCAAAUGUUAGCAAGACAGGAGGGCAAGGAGAGCAAGACAUUGCUCCUUUUCCUCCUUGCUUUACAGAAUUACCUGUAGGCACAGUGAAAUAACCUGUGCGUGUUACAUGGCACAAGAAAAGGGAGCAAUGAAUAUAUUCAGGUUUCUACUGACUGGUAGCAGUGAAAAGGGUAAUUAUUCUGUGAAAAAUUCAAUACUUUGGAAGCAAAUGGUGAUGCUUUUGAGGAACGAAUAUUAUCCUCUUCUACUUCAGAUUCAUCAGAAAUUGAUUUUGUUCACACAAAACUAUUUUGCCUGUCUGUAUUUGAUAGCAGUCCAUUUUCAGCAGGGCCACCAUCUGCACGGGCACUCCUGCUAGAGGUGAACUAUCUGGUGGACACCACGCCAUUUUAAUAGGGUUGGGAUGAAUCAGGAACAGCUGGAGAAUGUGCUAUUUGAAUAUCCCAAAAGGCUACCUCUUCCUAUAGGAACUUAGACCUGAUAAAGGAUGAGGAAGCUUGGUCUAUAGCUACCAGCACUUCUGUUACCACUGGGUAAGAAUAGACUGAGAUGGUUUCUGUCCACGAGACAGCAAGAAAAUGAAGAGCAGGAAGGACAGGGGAAAGUGUGUGAGACUUGGCAGCGUGUUUGAACUGAUAUUACUGAAACACGAUGCGUGACAGGAUUGUUUCUAUCGCUGCCUACAAGCUGUUUAGGAAAGGCAACAUGAGUAAUAAGGUGUGAAGGAGUAAAACUAUAUCAACUGAAAACAUUACUCCUUGCAUAAUAUCUCAGAAUUGCAGAAUCCUGAGUGCCCAUAAAUAAUCGCUCACAAAGCCUCCAUGGCACCUCUGUUACAGAUCUUCACUCAUCACUAAGUCAUGCCAGAGAAGGAAACGUGGUUGUUAUUAUGCACAGCUGCAUAAUGAAAAGCUGGAGUUCUAUAACAGAUUUAUUCUCUUAAGCAAGCACUAUUUAAAUUACAUUUCCACAAGAAAACAGAUCCAUUCUGGAGCAGUUGCCAACAUGGCAACAUCUAUUGGAAUUCACUACAAAGAAAAAUAGAAGUACUGGACUAAAAAUCAAUUGUUGUCUAGACCUAGUAAGGAUGAAGGAAAUUAAGUAACAUUCAGUUUGGGCAGGUAACAGAUCCCAUUAUUAUGUCUCCAUGGAACUGCAGGGAUUCAAGGAAUUUAAUAUUUUUGCACUGAAUACAACAACAGGAAAAAUGAUGGAAAAAUAUUUAAAACCUAUGAAUGACAACUCAGACUUCCUGAAGAAGACUUUGUUGUCAAAUAGAUUAAGGUUCCAGAGGCAAAUGAUUGAGGCCUAGAACUCCAUUGCCAAGUGAUCAUUAGAAGCUAAAUAGCAAUGAAAAAAUUAGAAGUUAUGAAAUGUAAGAAAAAAAGUAAAAAGGCAAAAUCCUACUAAAAGGGUUUUGGAAACAUAAAGGAUGUUCUUAAUAUUUAUUAUUGCAAAAAUAAAGUAACUGCAAAAACGAAAAAUUCAACACCAGUUUCUGUCCUGUAUCUGUAAGGGAUCAGGCUGGUCCAUCAUAGCAGUUAGAGAUUAAUGAGGCAAAUAUUCUUCAGGCAGUAUGCCUAAACAACACACAAAUUGUACUUUUUUUCAAACAUAAAUUUGGCAUGAAUAAAGGAAAAAACUAUACAUGUUUGUGUGGGUCAUUACAUAAUUUCUGAUACAUUUGUCUAAUAUGUUCCUAAAAAUCUCUACCAGUGGAAGUGGCAUCCCUUUUUUAGGCAAUGUUCAUGUAUUUGCUUUCAGUACUGCUACUGUACUGUACUGUUCUUUGCUCGAGCAUUUCCAUGGCUACCAACAGGAGCAGAGAUGAAUCUUAAAAUGCACUCAUUUAUACUUUUUAACAGUAUUUUUACUGCUUAGAAGUAAAAAUGGUUUUAGAAGAAAUUCAAGAAUUUGAGAGUUGUCAGUUUUAUGAGACAAGCAGAGUUGCUGCUUCUCCGGUGUCUCUGCUUUCAGUGAGUACAGUAAGGCCUGUGCAGAAAUGAUUGGCAGUUAACCCUUCAUCGGCAAAUCCCAAAAUCUUUACGUGACAAGCAGUUGUAGCACUAUUAAAUGGCUGUUACUGCUGUUAACAGAGGGACACAGAGACUUUGUACUGCUUUUGCAGCCCCUCGUUCUUGGAUUAGCUGCAAAUACAGUAAUGACAGACACUGGCCUUCCAGAAUCAUUUGCCCUGCAGGAAGGCUGUCAGGCAGAAGGCAGUGCCUCUGUCCCCACUGUUUACAGGUGAAGUUGUUAUACAUGGAUGAAGUAGGGCAGGGACGCCAGUGUUUUGUCACUCAGUGGCUUUUUCUCAGCAGCAGGUUGGCCCACUGUCAGCUCUGUCAGCUGUUUUUUCCUAUUCAUCCCAUUAUCAUCCCAUUGGAGCAGAGGUAGACCAUAAAAUUUAUAAGCAUUUGCAUGUAAUAUUACAUUUUGAGAGGAACUUGAACAAUGGAACAGAAGUCUUACAGUAGGAAGCUGAAGUGUAUCAGUAAAGACUCCUUUGUCCCAAACCUCUGGAUUCUUUUUGUCAUUAGUUUCACAGGUAAUAAAAGAAAAUUAUGUGAGAUGCUGUAUGUGGAAGGUAAUGUCUAAUUCAUUGGGGAUAAUACUUAACUAUGCUGGUCCUGGCAGGGAAAGAAUGAGUUACUGUGAAGGAAUCCUGGCAUUCCAGAAGGUUCACUGCCUUCCCAUGUAUUUUCACAUCAGACACUCCCAUGAAAGCACAGUGUGACAUGCAUUUACAGCCAGCCUGUCCUACCACUGACGGAUGCACUUGCUCUAGGACUGUACAGUGGCAGUUUUUCCAUGACAGGAGCAUUGUUUACACUGGAAACUAAUUCUUUAUAAUAUGUGUAUUUAAUAUUAAUUCAGAUACAGGAAUUGAGAAGUCUGACUGAUGAAAUGCAGUUCUUUUAUCGAGUAUCUUCUAUAAAAGCAAUAUACUACUUCUGCUGUAUUUAAGAAAUAAUUGAAAAUAGCAUAUGCCUUUUAAAGUUUCAACUACCAAGUUUGAAUUAAAGCAUUUACCCAAGGACCUUACAGAGGGACUUCCAUUAUUUCCCACAGCAUGUUUCCACGUUGUUUUCACUGAACUUCUAAUUUAGCAGAAUUCAUUCUGUACAGAAUCCCAGGUUACUUUGGCUGCAGACUUACAGCAUGAAAAUGCACAAGGCUCCACCAAGUACAAUGUGAGCUGUUGAGGCUUUUUUUCCAUUCUCUGAAAGGAGGUGCAGCCACGGAAUUAGUGAGAUACUUGUUACUUGAUGGCUGAACACAAGUUAAAAGCAGAAAUAGAAAUCUGCUGGAUUAGAUCACGUAUUACAUACAAGUUCUGUAACUGUUAUAGGAGAGAGGGUCUGGGUUUGCUAGGGUUUGAUUUUUUUUUUAAAAGGUCUCAUGUUUUCUAAACAUGAAUUUGUCAUUAUAAAUUAAUUUCUACAGAAAUAAAGUGUGGACAAAGGUCAUUUUGUCUUUUUUUAAAGAACAUUUGCAACGUAUUUAACUUUCCUACAUCCUAAAAAUAGUUUAAAAAAUUACAGCAAUGAAAAGGACUCCCAAAUUAGGUAUGUCAUGCUAUUUCUCCAGAAUAUUUAAUGCUUAACUGCAUGUUGUAUCUAUAUUAUACACAUCAGCCGAAGAAAAUGAAGACACACACACACCAUCCAAUUGUCCUUUUAUAUUUUUAUUCGGUGUUAAGUAACUCCACAAGAAAACAAAAUCAGUUACUCUGGUGUACGUGAAAUCAGAACAAUACAACCACUUGAAGCAAAAAGUAGAAACAAAUUUCAGCCCAGGAAUGGAAAACUGAUACUUCAAUGCUAUGGAUAUGCAAUGCGCUUCAUCCCACAGUGCGGUUCAGCGUAUGCCAACCUUUAAUGCUCUUGUUGUUAUUGUUGUUGGUGUGUGUUUCUAUCCAUAUAGAAAAACUAAAAACCACACUUCAACUCUCACUGAAAGCCUUAGAGCUUUAGCCUUUAAACUAUGAAAACGAGUAAAGACAAUUUGUUAUUGCCCAAGCUCAAGAUAGGAUUUUAUUUUCCCCAAAGGUGCUGGAAUCAUUACAUGCCACAGUGUAACUAUGAGCAACACCUUUGUUACUUUUGAGCCCUUUCUUUCCAAUGAAGAAGCUCUAGCCAGAAUUAACUGAGCUGAAGUUUGUGUUUGAAAUAUGUCCACUUGGUCACUUCCUGUUCUCAAAUGAAUUCUAUUCCAUUCUUCACUGUAGUGAUUUGAAGAAUUUGUGUGUAAAGUUCUUUUUUCCUUUCAUGUUACAGUUAACUAGUUUCAGUGCAGGUGCUAAUCAACCUCUCAAGGAAGCUCCAGAAGAAAGUAAAAUAUAUAAAAUCUAUUCAAAGUCUGCAAAUAAAUUAAGAAAAGAAACUGUAAAGUGUCAAAAGAUUUGCUGUAUGAAUACAAACCCUAAAACAUCGUCUAAGAGGAGGACCAAAAGAAAGUCCUUGGAUAAGGGCAACCAAGCCAGUUUUAGUAAGGAUCUCACCAAAAGUGUUGCACGAAGACCGGCAUGGUUUCCCAACCACGUAUUUAAAUUCUUACACUCUCAAAUGAAUAAAGGCAACAAAACCCAGUUACUCAGAAAGCAUUUCUAGCGCAGAACAUAUUUCAAAGGCAGUUCAGCUCACAUUUCAAACAGCUAUGUUUCUUGUGAGGUUUAUUGCCUGUCAAAAAUAAUGGUGAAGCUUUUCAAGUCAGUAUUGGACUUUCUGCACUUCCUGGUGUUAUAGACAUGCUGCGAUCGUGUAGACUAGUUAGUUGUUGUCAUUUUUUAAACUAGGAGUUGUUAAAAACUCAGAAUGUUUAGUUUUGCAAAUAUUGCUCCUCCUGGCUUAUACAUUUUGCAUAAUGUGUUAAAAGCAGAAGGAGUUGAUAGUCUUGUACAGAUGCAACUUGACAAUGUAUUGACUUUCUAAGUUAACAAAAGAAAAUUUAAAAGCAAGUCACAUAAAGCAACAAUCACUACUGCAAUCACACAUGUAUUUUGUAAGUCAUCACCUUCCCUACCCCCACCCACCACACACAUAACUUGCCCCACACAUUCUCUCAGAAACACAAAAUGAACUACGAGAUUUACUAAAUUACAGCCACAACAGCAGCUAACUGCAGCAGCCACAGGAUUUCUUUCAAGUGAAGCACUGACCCUUUGCAUUUAAAACAUUGAACACUGAGCAUUUUAGAGAGUUUCAGUCAUUCAGGCUCAAGUUCAGUUACAGGAUGCUUUUGCAGGUUACAUGAAUGCCUUCAUCUGCAACAAGACAACAUUCUCAUUACUCAUUAACAAAAUUCACAACAAUCCACACAUCACCCCAGUGGUUUAUUAUUUUUGGUGUUACUUUUGAACUUCUGCCCCACAUUGGCAAAUUGCUAAAAAGGACAAAAAAAAAGAAAAAAA